GAGGGUAUAGCUCAAGUGGUAGAGUGCAUACUUAACAUGCAUGAGGUCCUGGGUUCAAUCCCCAGUACCUCCU
This is a transfer RNA of Camelus ferus (Wild Bactrian camel), 73 nucleotides long. It matches the Rfam family "tRNA". From Rfam's summary of the family: Transfer RNA (tRNA) molecules are approximately 80 nucleotides in length. Lineage: Eukaryota; Metazoa; Chordata; Mammalia; Artiodactyla; Camelidae. The record is from Rfam.